RNAcentral lists this long non-coding RNA (3303 nucleotides) under Homo sapiens (human). RNAcentral describes it as "HSALNT0065082". Lineage: Eukaryota; Metazoa; Chordata; Mammalia; Primates; Hominidae. The record is from RNAcentral.
UUAUUGACUUGCUUAAAAACUUUAUUAGGAAGAAUUCUUACCAUUCUAAACAAAUCUUAUUUUGCCAAAAUUUAUUCAUCUGUCCAGAUUGAUAACAGCUUUGUGGGGGUUGGGGAAAGGAAGAGAAAAAAUGAACAUAUAUUAAAUAUUUAAUACCACAGUAUAUUGGACAGGGGUGGGAAAAAAGUGAGAAAUCUCUGAUCUUUAUUCAAAUUUUUCAAUGCUAGCUAGUAUUGUGCUUUUAUGUACUUAUAUACAAAUUAUGUGUAGCAAUUUGACAAAAUUUCUUGUCAGAUUUCUAAAAAUGCUCUUUUUCUUUGCAACACAAGAAGCUAACAUAACUAACCAAUAGUUUAGAUGACUUAGAAAGACUACAAAGAUAGCAAGAGAGAAACUGCCAGAAUCUGUAACAUUUUAAAAGUUGAUCAUUCAGUAUUGGAUUUUCAUUGUCAGAAAAGUCUUGAUACCAUACUUGAGGGUUUUCUGACUUGAUGCAAGUUUAAACUGAAAUGUUUCAUUGUUCAGCACCUCAGUUUGGCAAAAUAUAUUGCAUUAGAUAACCCCUUAACCCAAGCUGCCCUGCAUUUUAAAACAAAAACACCUAAAAACUAAUGAGGAACGAAGGGCAGAAGGAAGGAAGGAGGAAGGGAAGAAAACCUGUUUUGAACAGCUGUUAAAGACACACAUGACCAAAAUGAGUGAGAUUGGUAAUAUAAGAAAUUAUAAAAUUUUGAAGAAUAUCUAAACAAACAUAGCUGUCAAUUUAAGAGACCUUAUUUUUGCAUUUCCUAAUUUGCAUACAAGUGGAGGAGACACUAGAAGUUUGUAUUUGGAGACUUGAACAUUAACCUGCACAUCAGAAUGAAAAAUCCUCAGUCUAAUGUCAUGUUUUUGUAGAAAAACUUCAGUACAAAAAAAGGUUAUCAUAUGUCAUUAUUGAUACCAGAACAGUCGCUUUUCUUUUUCUCUACACUUUUUCAUUUUGUCUAAUGCUAACAAGCUUAACUAGAUUUUUCUGGCUGCUAGAAUAUUUCAAGGGCAAAAGCAUUAAUUUAAGUAUAUAUAAAAUGACUAAUUUAAUUUUAUAUAAUUUAAGAAAUAAAAAAUAAGAAUUUCCAUAUUAACAUCUACACUGCCCACAUUACAUGUUUAAAGCAAUAUAAUUAAAAACCUAAGAAUAAAAUAAUGUCAUCUAUUUGUAUUUCUUGAUUUCUGUAAUGUUUAGAUGGUUUACAUUAAUGUCAAGUUAAUAAUCCUUUUAUUAUUUUUCCUAGAGUAUUUUGCAAACCUUUUUAUUAAACACAAAAAGUAAAAGCCUAAGAGAACAAAAGUAGUUCUAUAUGACUUUGACUUUGUUUAUCCAGACUUGCUAAGAUGUUAAAAGAUUUUAAAAGUUUUUUAAAAUUGAAGGGAAAUCUCGCCUCUAACACUCAAGAGCUUUAUCAAUGGCAUAUUCUCAAAUAAUUACUUAAUAUGUAGAACCUGCUUCUAAAGUCUUAUGCUAUAUUUUACUUUGAAAUAUAGAAUCUAAGUUUCUUAUAUACGUGGUUUAAAUUCCAGAUAGUUAUUUAAUUUAUAUAGAGCUUCCCAUGUUUAACUUUUGGAAAUUAAAACCGUCAGUUCUGAAAGACCAUUUAAGCAUAUAUAUAGAAAGAAAAAUAAUAACUGGUAAAAUUCACUUUAAAGUAAACAGAAUUCUUUUCAGUCAUGUCUUUUAAGUUUUUAAUUUGUGAGAUAUAAAAUCUUGGCUCUUUAAUACAGAAUCUUUAUCUUCAGGGAUAUAGAACACAAAAAUAAUUCAAAAGCCUGUUGCUACAGGUUAAUCACUUGAAACAGAAGCUACAAAAUCUGAGUUGGUAUCUCAAUUCUUCCAUUUAUUAGCUCAAUCACAGUGUGCAAUCACAGGUAAAAUGGGAUUGAUGAGUUUUGUUUAUCUUAUAACAUUAUUCUAAGGAUUAAACAAAAUUAUGAUUUAAAAAGUGCUUUGUAAGCUAUAGGGCAUUAAGCAAAUUAAAAAUUUUUAAAUAAGAAUUUUAUCUAAGUAAGAAGCUAUGAUUUAUGCAAGAUAUUCUUAUCAUUGACUUUUGUAUCUAAGCCUAGUACCACUUAGGAAUCAUCGAUUUAACCAACAGGAAGUAGAGUGUCUUUCUGGUCACCUCUCUGACAAAUUAACAACCUGGAAAAAAAAUGAUCUACACUUUGAGCUGUAUUAGGGGGAGAGUGUAAUCACUAGGACAAUUCUUAAUACAAAGAGAGUGGAAACGUGAUUCUGAAGAGGGGAAAUAUCAAAGGUACUCUUUAUCAAGAGUGAAACUUUGAAAUCCAUCUAUUUAAGAUUAAUCACUAUUCUUUCAGUUAAGCUGUUGUCAUCUCUAACUUCCCCUGAGUAGAAAAUAAUCUACACUUCCAACUAAGUUAUUCAUGGUCCAAUUUGUUCUCAGAAUACUAUAAUAGGCUUUGUGAAGAUAAGUUUUAUAAUAGGGAUUUAACAUAGUGAGAAGCCAAGACACAGAGGCCUUCAAACACAAAGAGUAUAUAUAUAUAUACUCAUAUAUAUAUAUACUCAUAUAUAUAUACUCAUAUAUAUAUAUACUCAUAUAUAUAUACUCAUAUAUAUAUAUACUCAUAUAUAUAUACUCAUAUAUAUAUACUCAUAUAUAUAUACUCAUAUAUAUAUACUCAUAUAUAUAUAUACUCAUAUAUAUAUACUCAUAUAUAUAUAUAUAUAUAUAUAUAUAUAUAUAUAUAUAUAUAUAAACUGCUCUGUCCUUUCCCCCCUUCUUCUACCCUCCCAUUCCCUCUCCCAAAAGGAUAUUCACCCCUACUUAAAAAUCUAAUUUUUACGAAGGAUUCAGAUGAAAUGGCAUCUCAACAACUUCACAGUACAAUUGGUUUAGCCACUGCAGUGUUGCUUUUGAAGCCAUUUUCAACAGAGCUGGGAAAAGGGGAGAAGUCUGAGUAAAGCACUGGAAGAAGAAACACUGUGAAUGGUUUUAAGGAAGAAAAACAUUCAUAAUCUUUCCUCUUGGCAGUUCUGUCUUCUUGAUGGCCACAUUUACAUACUGAGUUCACAGGCUAGAACUCUCAAAGAGAAUUCUACUUUCCUAGAGAAAAUCAAACACUCACGGUGGCAUCCUGGGGGCGGGGGGGAAUGAAAAGGAAAUAAUCACUGAUGAUUUAUAUAUAUAUCAUAUUUAUUUUCCAAGUUUCUGAUAUCUUAAACUGUUGAAAAUACAUAAAGUUAUUCAGAGACACUUUUUUUUAAAAAAAUACCACGUGUACUUUAUUUUAGAGUAAUGAACU